CAGCAGCCACGGGAAUACGAAGGGUGCAAGCGUUAAUCGGAAUUACUGGGCGUAAAGCGUGCGUAGGCGGUUGUGUAAGACAGGUGUGAAAUCCCCGGGCUUAACCUGGGAACUGCGCUUGUGACUGCACAGCUAGAGUAUGGCAGAGGGGGGUGGAAUUCCACGUGUAGCAGUGAAAUGCGUAGAGAUGUGGAGGAACACCGAUGGCGAAGGCAGCCCCCUGGGCCAAUACUGACGCUCAUGCACGAAGGCGUGAGGAGCAAACAGGAUUAGAUACCCCAGUAGUCCCUGUCUCUUAUAC
Molecule: ribosomal RNA, 301 nt
Filed under: uncultured bacterium
Lineage: Bacteria
Description: partial 16S ribosomal RNA
Rfam family: Bacterial small subunit ribosomal RNA
Source: RNAcentral